Molecule: long non-coding RNA, 267 nt
Organism: Oncorhynchus tshawytscha (Chinook salmon)
Lineage: Eukaryota; Metazoa; Chordata; Actinopteri; Salmoniformes; Salmonidae
Source: Ensembl
CUCACCUGCUUGGAUGUCAGCUGGCAGAGUGGCGAAGACGGCCAUCGUGAGAGUCCUUUCUUCAGGUGUGACGUCCACAACCUCCAAGAGGGAAGAGAUGGGCUCUGCCUCUGUAUUAGGGGUGAUGUCCACCACAUUCAGGUUGGAAGAAGCCGGAUCUGCCUCUGUAUUAGGGUGUAAUUUCACAACAGAUCUAUUCUGCUGUGCUAACUCGUUGUUGAAAGGCUAGUAAAGAGCUCACUAACUUGUAGUAUGUCUCUAACUCUC